CAUGAAGCCGGAAUUGCUAGUAAUGGCAGGUCAGCAUACUGCCGUGAAUACGUUCCCGGGCCUUGUACACACCGCCCGUCACACCAUGAGAGUUGGAAAUACCCGAAGCCUGUGAGCUAACCUUCAGGAGGCAGCAGUCGAAGGUAGAGCCAAUGAUUGGGGUGAAGUCGUAACAAGGUAUC
This 182-nucleotide ribosomal RNA is filed under the name uncultured bacterium. RNAcentral's name for it is "partial 16S ribosomal RNA". It matches the Rfam family "Bacterial small subunit ribosomal RNA", at positions 1319 to 1500 of the family's 1533-position model. The record is from RNAcentral.